AAUUUCAUUCCAUCUCUUUGUUUUUUAAUCCCUCAUGGAACACCUUUGUUCUGUAGUUUCUCUUUUAAUGAUCCAUUUUCCUUCCAAUGGACUUUUAUUUUGAAGACCAUUUAUAGCUCUUGUUUGAGUGGAAUGUUUCCUGUUGGUUUCUUAGAGGUUAGGAGUUGUUUAAAAAUCAGACAGAGGGAAGAGCAGCUGAGAUGGCGGAGAGUAAAGCCUGCACUCUUCAGAGGAGGAGAAAAAGUAUGGACGAACCUCCAAGUAUGAAACCUUCUUUGAAUCACGCAAUAAACUAAUACUGAUCUUUAUUAAAGUG
Labrus bergylta (ballan wrasse) is the source of this 316-nucleotide non-coding RNA. Lineage: Eukaryota; Metazoa; Chordata; Actinopteri; Labriformes; Labridae. The record is from RefSeq and is a predicted model, not a curated record.